This is a small nuclear RNA of Octopus sinensis (East Asian common octopus), 104 nucleotides long. Lineage: Eukaryota; Metazoa; Mollusca; Cephalopoda; Octopoda; Octopodidae. The record is from RefSeq and is a predicted model, not a curated record.
UCUGUCUGUCUGUCUGUCUGUACUAAAACUGGAACGACACAGAAAAGGUAGAAUGUCACCUGCGCAAGAGUAGCUCGCAAAUUUGUGAGGCGUUCCGUAUUUCU